GAUGAACGCUGGCGGUAUGCCUAACACAUGCAAGUCGUACGAGAGUUUUUAACUCUAGUGGCGGACGGGUGAGUAACACGUGAGAAUUUGCCUUUAGGAGGGGGAUAACAAUUGGAAACGAAUGCUAAUACCCCAUAUGCUUUUGAGUGAAAUGGAUUUUAUCCGCCUAGAGAGAAGCUCGCGGCUGAUUAGCUUGUUGGUAAGGUAAGAGCUUACCAAGGCGACGAUCAGUAUCUGGUUUGAGAGGACGAUCAGACACACUGGAACUGAGACACGGUCCAGACUCCUACGGGAGGCAGCAGUGGGGAAUUUUCCGCAAUGGGCGAAAGCCUGACGGAGCAAUACCGCGUGAGGGAAGACUGCCUAUGGGUUGUAAACCUCUUUUUCUAGGGAGGAAUAAAAUGACGUGUACCUGAAGAAUAAGCAUCGGCUAACUCCGUG
RNAcentral lists this ribosomal RNA (441 nucleotides) under uncultured bacterium. Its description in RNAcentral is "bacterial SSU rRNA". It matches the Rfam family "Bacterial small subunit ribosomal RNA", at positions 28 to 507 of the family's 1533-position model. The record is from RNAcentral.